RNAcentral lists this ribosomal RNA (1828 nucleotides) under oral metagenome. Its description in RNAcentral is "bacterial LSU rRNA". It matches the Rfam family "Bacterial large subunit ribosomal RNA", at positions 1 to 2001 of the family's 2925-position model. The record is from RNAcentral.
CAAGCGAUAGGUAAGGGCAUCUGGUGAAUGCCUUGGCAAUCAGAGGCGAAGAAGGACGUGAUACACUGCGAAAAGCCUUGGGGAGUUGUGAAUAAACAUUGAUCCGAGGAUAUCCGAAUGGGGAAACCCACAGCAUAAGCUGUAUCAAUACCUGAAUAUAUAGGGUAUUGAGGCGAACGCAGGGAACUGAAACAUCUAAGUACCUGUAGGAAAGGAAAUCAACCGAGACUCCGAGAGUAGUGGCGAGCGAAAUCGGACCAGCCAAAUUGCUUUGUAAUAAGAACCGGAAGUAUCUGGGAAGGUACAUCUUAGAGGGUGAUAAUCCCGUACGGGUAGAAAGUUACGAAGUAUGAGAGUAGGGCGGAACACGAGAAAUUCUGUCUGAAUAUAGGUCGACCACGAUCUAAGGCUAAGUACUACUGAUUGACCGAUAGUGAACCAGUACCGUGAGGGAAAGGUGAAAAGUACCCCGACAAGGGGAGUGAAAUAGAACCUGAAACCGGAUGCCUACAAGCAGUCGGAGGGACAUUAAGUUCUGACGGCGUACCUUUUGUAUAAUGGGUCAGCGAGUUAGUUUAUGUAGCAAGCAUAAGUCGAUAGAUGGAUGCGAAGCGAAAGCGAGUGUUAAUAGCGCGUUAAGUUACAUGAAUUAGACCCGAAACCGAGUGAUCUAGCCAUGAACAGGCUGAAGGUUGGGUAACACCAACUGGAGGGCCGAACCCACUCCCGUUGAAAAGGUAGGGGAUGAUUUGUGGCUAGGGGUGAAAGGCCAAUCAAACUCGGAAAUAGCUGGUUCUCCGCGAAAACUAUUUAGGUAGUGCGGUAGGCGAAUACCAUGAGGGGUAGAGCACUGAAAGAGCUAGGGGGGAGCGAUCCUUACCAAACUCUAUCAAACUCCGAAUACUCAUGAGUAAUACUUACCAGACAGACAGUAGGUGCUAAGGUCUAUUGUCGAGAGGGAAAGAGCCCAGACCGUCAACUAAGGUCCCUAAAUUAUGGCUAAGUGGUAAAGGAAGUGAGAUGUCCAAAACAGUCAGGAGGUUGGCUUAGAAGCAGCCAUCCUUUAAAGAAAGCGUAAUAGCUCACUGAUCUAAAUAAGAUGUCCUGCGCCGAAGAUGUAACGGGGCUAAAGCCAUAUACCGAAGUUACGGAAUCGUUUUUAACGAUUGGUAGCGGAGCGUUCUGUAGGCCGAUGAAGGUGUUCUGUGAGGGAUGCUGGAGGUAUCAGAAGUGAGAAUGCUGACAUGAGUAGCGAAAAGAAGAGUGAGAGACUCUUCCGCUGAAAGUCCAAGGUUUCCUGCGUAAAGCUAAUCUGCGCAGGGUUAGUCGGCCCCUAAGGCGAGGCAGAGAUGCGUAGUCGAUGGGAACACGGUUAAUAUUCCGUGACCGGCCGGGAAGUGACGGAUACAGUAGUUUGUAAUGUCUUAAUGGAUUGAUGUUGCAGGUGAUGUGUUCCAGGAAAUAGCCCCGGCUAAGACCGUACCCCAAACCGACACAGGUGGACAGGUAGAGUAUACCAAAGCGCUUGAGAGAACUAUGUUGAAGGAACUAGGCAAAAUGCUUGUGUAACUUCGGGAUAAGCAAGCCCGAUUUAGAGGCAACUCUAGGUCGGGGGCACAUACUAGGGGGUAGCGACUGUUUAACAAAAACACAGGACUCUGCGAAAUUGAAAGAUGAAGUAUAGGGUCUGACGCCUGCCCGGUGCCGGAAGGUUAAGGAGAGAUGUGAGAGCAUUGAACUGAAGCCCCGGUAAACGGCGGCCGUAACUAUAACGGUCCUAAGGUAGCGAAAUUCCUUGUCGGGUAAGUUCCGACCUGCACGAAUGGCG